CCUACGGGUGGCAGCAGUGAGGAAUAUUGGUCAAUGGACGAGAGUCUGAACCAGCCAAGUAGCGUGAAGGAUGACUGCCCUAUGGGUUGUAAACUUCUUUUUUAUGGGAAUAAAAUGUUCCACGUGUGGGAUUUUGUAUGUACAAUAUGCAUAAGGAUCGGCGAACUCCGUGCCAGCAGCCGCGGUAAUAUGGUGGAUCCGAGCGUUAUCCGGAUGUAUUGGGGUUAAAGGGAGCGUAGGUGGAUGGUUAAGUCAGUUGUUAAAGUUUGCGGCUCAACCGUACACUUGCAGUUGAAACUGGCAGUCUUGAGUACAGUAGAGGUGGGCGGAAGGCGUGGUGUAGCGGUGAAAUGCUUAGAGAUCACGAAGAACUCCGAUUGCGAAGGCAGCUCACUGGACUGCAACUGACACUGAGGCUCGAAAGUGUGGGUAUCAAACAGGAUUAGAUACCCGGGUAGUC
Molecule: ribosomal RNA, 460 nt
Filed under: uncultured bacterium
Lineage: Bacteria
Description: partial 16S ribosomal RNA
Rfam family: Bacterial small subunit ribosomal RNA
Source: RNAcentral